This 237-nucleotide ribosomal RNA is filed under the name uncultured bacterium. RNAcentral's name for it is "partial 16S ribosomal RNA". It matches the Rfam family "Bacterial small subunit ribosomal RNA", at positions 15 to 244 of the family's 1533-position model. The record is from RNAcentral.
GAUCCUGACUCAGGAUGAACGCUAGCUACAGGCUUAACACAUGCAAGUCGAGGGGCGAGCAUGAACUUAGCUUGCUAAGUUUGAUGGCGACCGGCGCACGGGUGAGUAACGCGUAUCCAACCUACCCUUGUCCAUCGGAUAACCCGUCGAAAGGCGGCCUAACACGAUAUGCGGUUCACCGCAGGCAUCUAACGUGAACGAAAUGUGAAGGAGAAGGAUGGGGAUGCGUCUGAUUAG